Bison bison bison is the source of this 134-nucleotide small nucleolar RNA. NCBI's taxonomy places the organism in Eukaryota, Metazoa, Chordata, Mammalia, Artiodactyla, Bovidae. The record is from Ensembl.
GCAUGGUAAUGGAUUUAUGGCUUGUCCUCUGUGGGCAUCUAACAGUAGACCCAUGCCAGAGAAAACUGCAGCUUCAAACUAUUGCCCUGUCUCCUUACCUGUGGGCUGUGAGCACUGAAGAGGGUUGUGAAGUG